GUGAAUGUUAUUUUUAAUGAAAGUGGUACAUUUUGACUCACGAUGUUGAAACCAGAUUAUAAAUGAGUCAUCGGUGAAUCAACCACAAGGAGCCUUUAUGAAGGUGAUUUACAGGAGGACUCUGACGUCUGCUGUCCCUUCACACGCUUCGCAGAGAUGCUGUCAGGCUUGGAGUUGGUCUGGGGCAUCUGCUGCCGAGUCAGCUCAAAAGGAUGCUGUGUUGUCACCAGUGGGAUUCCCCAGCCAGCCGGCACUGCGGUCCCACCCACAGAACUAAGGCAGCCAUCACUGAACAAUGCUUGUGGUUACAUCAUAGCUGCUGGCUUCCAGGUAGUGACUAGUAGAUACUGGGGAGAGUCACAGGCCAUCUGUUGCUCCCUGCUCCCAGACUCUUCCCUAAUGCCCACAUCCCCUCACCUGGUCAUCAAGAGGCUCAGUAGGAGGGCAGAAAAGUGAGACUUAAAGGUGAACAGACCUGGGCUUGAGUCCUAGGUCUAACGGAAUGGCCACAAAGAGUCAGGCAACAGCCUCAUGUUGCUCGUGUCUGAAAUGUAAACAUUAUCACCUACCAUGCCUCCCUUGCAGGAACCUUGCAAGGUUCUCGUGGGACCGUGCGAGUGAAAGUGUCUUGGAGACUGUCACAGGCCAUACCAAGAUUCUGUGGAUCCGGAAUUUGGACAGAGAACAGAGAGGAUGACUUAUGUCUGCGCUACAACGUCUGGGGCCUCAACAGAAAAGACUCAAAGGCUGGGGUGACUCGACAGCUAGGGUUUAGAAUCAUGUGAAUGCUUGUUCACUCAUAUAUCUGGCAUCUGAUACAGACUAGGACUGCAGACCCAUGGUCUACAUGUGGCCUCUCCAUGUGGCUUGGCUUCCCCACAGCAAGGCAGCCACAGGAUAGUCAGACUUCUUCCUUGGUUACAGAACCCAAAAGCAUUGUCCCAGCAAACAAGACAGAGCAGCAGUGGCUUUUGUGACCCAGCUUCAGAAGUGGCACAGCAUCACUUCUCUCCUACUUUACACUGGUCAAAGUAGCCUCAAGUCUGUGAGGAGGAGGGAUGAGACUCUGUCUCUUAAUGGGAAAGGAAUCAAAGAAUUUUGAGGGUAUGUUCUGUCACAUUGCCCGAGACAUAGUCUCAGCGUUGAGCUAUUCUUCCUAAGCCUGUUACCAGCUGCCUGUUGAAAGAAUUGAUUGUCUCCUUAAUGUUCCUCUGUUGACCUGUGAAUGUCUUGCUGCAUCUCCCCCUACCCCUAACUAUCUGAAUUCUCAGCUGCUCCACUAUAUAUCAAGAAGUCUUCACUUGAUAUAAGAUCCUGACUCCCGAAAUGGAGUACACAGGAUCUCCC
RNAcentral lists this long non-coding RNA (1347 nucleotides) under Equus caballus (horse). RNAcentral describes it as "lncRNA (ENSECAG00000045046.1)". Lineage: Eukaryota; Metazoa; Chordata; Mammalia; Perissodactyla; Equidae. The record is from RNAcentral.